UACUCCUGGCCGUAAACGAUGUCAACCAGGCGUUGGGAAACACUAGUUUCUCAGUGCUGCAUCUAACGAGGUAAGUUGACCGCCUGGGGAGUACGGCCGCAAGGCUAAAACUCAAAGGAAUUGGCGGGGACCCGCACAAGCAGCGGAGCGUGUGGUUUAAUUCGAGGCAACGCGAAGAACCUUACCGGGCCUUGACAUAUACGUGGUACUGAUCAGAAAUGUGAUGGACUCUUCGGAGAGCGUAUACAGGUGCUGCAUGGCUGUCGUCAGCUCGUGCCGUGAGGUGUUCGGUUAAGUCCGAUAACGAGCGCAACCCACGUCGUCAGUUACAAGUGUCUGGCGAGACUGCCGGUGAUAAGCCGGAGGAAGGUGUGGAUGACGUCAAGUCAGCAUGGCCUUUAUGGUCCGGGCUACACACACGCUACAAUGGUCGAUACAAUGGGUAGCGAAGCCGCGAGGUGAAGCCAAUCUCUCAAAGUCGAUCUCAGUUCGGAUUGU
This 498-nucleotide ribosomal RNA is filed under the name uncultured bacterium. RNAcentral's name for it is "bacterial SSU rRNA". It matches the Rfam family "Bacterial small subunit ribosomal RNA", at positions 791 to 1301 of the family's 1533-position model. The record is from RNAcentral.